AAUGAACGCUGGCGGUAUGCCUAACACAUGCAAGUCGAACGGCAACGCUCCUGCUUGCAGCGCUUCCCGAGUGGCAAACGGGUGCGGAACACGAGGACGACCUACCCUGCACUUUCGGGUAAGCCUGGGAAACUGAAUCUAAUACCGUACCGGAUGAUGGCUUGGUUGCCAUUCAGGGAAGCUUUUUCGCUGUGGGAUGUGCAUGCGGCCUAUCCGCAUGUUGGGGGGGUAAUGGCCUACCCAUGCGUCGGCGGGUAGCCGCCCUGAGAGGGUGGACAGCGUCAUUGGGACUGAGGGACGGCCCAGUCGGGUACGGUAGGCAGCAGUGGGGAAUAUUGCACAAUGAGAGCAAGCCGGAUGCAGCGGCGCCGCGGGGGGGAAGACGGCCUUCGGGUUAAAAAAACCAGGCGCUUGAGACGAAGCGCAAGUGACGGUACCUGAAGAAGAAGCACCGGCUAACUACGUG
Molecule: ribosomal RNA, 466 nt
Filed under: uncultured bacterium
Lineage: Bacteria
Description: partial 16S ribosomal RNA
Rfam family: Bacterial small subunit ribosomal RNA
Source: RNAcentral